UACGUAGGGUGCAAGCGUUGUCCGGAAUUAUUGGGCGUAAAGGGCUCGUAGGCGGUCCAUCGCGUCGGGAGUGAAAAGCUGGGGCUCAACCCCAGUCCUGCUUCCGAUACGGGUGGACUAGAGGUAUGCAGGGGAGAACGGAAUUCCUGGUGUAGCGGUGAAAUGCGCAGAUAUCAGGAGGAACACCAAUAGCGAAGGCAGCUCGCUGGGACGUUACUGACACUGAGGCGCGAAAGCGUGGGGAGCGAACAGG
Molecule: ribosomal RNA, 253 nt
Filed under: uncultured bacterium
Lineage: Bacteria
Description: partial 16S ribosomal RNA
Rfam family: Bacterial small subunit ribosomal RNA
Source: RNAcentral